CAGGACCUUGGGCUCAUGAUGUGAGCCAAAGGCAGACGCUUAAUGACUGAGCCCCCAGGUGUCCCUGUAGCAGAACUUCUUAAGCUGAAGACACAUUACACACAGACUUUAGGUUAUUACUCUGAGUAUUAUUUUCUUAUCUACUUAUUUUUCUUACAACCGCUUAUGAUGUAUAUGGUAUUACUAAAAUGUGAUGGUUUACGGCCGAGCAUUGUACCUCAAGUUUUGCCUUUGAUAUUAGGGGACAGUUGAUGCUCACUAGAGUGUCAGAGUUUGUGAGUUGUCCCAUUGGGUCAGCCCCUGUCCCCCCAGCUCUGGCCCUGUCUCUAUGUGUCUGGGUCCCUCUCGCAGGACAGGGGAUCUUGGAAAGGUGACCCCGACGUGUGAGCUAUUCCCCAGGAGGGGGGUAACCAAGCCAGCGGAGGGGAGCCCGGAACGCGUGAUGGAAAGACGUAAGAGGUCGAAGCAGUGGGGAUGAUGCCGAGCUCAGGCCUGAGGCUGAGGCAGGAUUUUAAGUGGAAAAUCAGGUCUCAGGUCCAGAGGGUCGGGAAGUGGGGUGCAGUGCCUUGUUCCAACUGAGAGCCGGCUGGGUAACGGGAGGUUGGCAAGCUUCCGGAUUUUAGCUGCGCAUGACUUUCCUUGGUGCGAGCCUCAGCGGUGAGCGAUGGAUCCAGAACCUUAUCGGGGUCUUAGGAGAUGAUCAGUGGGGACGGCCGCCUGCUCAGGGGUUGUUGGCAGGAGACAUGGGGAUGUUGGGCCUGCAGACUCCUCCCACCAGGUCUCCUGGCCUUGCUCGUGAGCUGGUCUUCUCAUUUCCUUGUUUGGCACCAGGCGCUGUCUCACUACCCUUUCUCUUUGGCCUUUGUGGCCUUGCAUGGGGUGGUUUCCUGGGGUCCAGUGACCGGAAACAGCAGCCCGAGCAAGCCUGUCGUGGGCGUUCCCGGAGCAGGUGAGGUGUGUUCCCAGGAAAGUGGGUGUCUGUACGGGAUAGUCUGUCUCAUUCUUUCCUUUCAAGUGUCCUUUUAAGAUGAUAAAAUUAGUAGUAACUCAUGAAAAGUCAAAUGAUCCGGAGGUAGAGAGGCUCAUGGGUUAGGCCCAUGUCCAGCCUGCAACUCCCUGCAGCUCCCAACUCCCCAAAGGCAGCCACUGUAGGCCCUGGGGUCAUGUCCUUCCCGUCCGCCCAGCUCCGGGUUUGGUUUCCGGUGACUGUGUGCUGAGCUAUGGCAGACCAGGGAAGACUCCGAGGGUGCGAUGUGCUCCUUAUGUUGCUGGAGCCUCUGUCUCUGUGGGACUGACAUCCAGGCUGUGCAGCUAGGCCCGGGGGUACCCCUGGAUGUGUCUGCCAUCAGCUCAGCUCCGGACCCCUGGGGGCUCACCAGGCAGGGGCUUGUCUCAGGGGGUCCAGGGUGGACCGCCGAUCUGCUCCCAGCUUCCUCCCGGGGCCCUGCCUUCUUGAGCUGUGAAGGUGGGUGUGCCUGGCUCUCCCCUCCCCGCCCCUUGUACUUGGACGUGGGGCCUCGGCCGUUCCACCGGGCUGGCAGGUCAGGAACGCAGAAGGACUCUGCUUUUAUUUAUUCAGGCAAGACAGAGUGUGUGAAAGGUCACCAGCGCCUGUGAAGCACCUGCCCCGGGUGAGGCCGGCGGCCGUGACGGUGGCGGUGUCAUCCAUCUUUCUCCCUGGCUUGGGCGGGAGCCCUUCAGAGCCGAGCCGCAGUAGGGCAAGCUCAGAGGUCCGGAGCCCCCGGCUGGCGGCUGGGCAGCUUGCCCAAGCUGCGGUCUGUUCCCGGGGUCCCUCCAAAGAUGCAGAGCCCGUGCUCUCCCAGCCUCAUCACAGACUGGAGGGGCCCCCACCAGGGGCCCUCUAGGCUAAGGGACAUGUCCGGUGACUAAAGGUGACCGUUUUCCCAGGACUUUUAAAGAAGAGAGAAAACUCUUUUGCCUCGUGUUACGCUGUUUCUCGAUCAAAGCACUGCUGACAUUUGGGGUGUGGUGAGCCUCAGUGUUUGGGGGUGUCCUGUGUGACAUGUAGUCGUAUCCCUGACCUGUACCCACUGGGUGCCGGGGGCACCCCCCACCUCCAGUUGUGACAACCCAGAACGUCUCCAGACAUUGCCAGAUGUCCCCGGGGGGCAAGUCACCCCUCCCCGCCCUUUGAGACCCACUGGACUCCAGGCUUCAGAAAUGGGCUUUCUGUGACCAUCGCUUGGGCGUGUGAGCUGCUUCUCGCCCGGGAGCAGUUUUUCUUUGUUCCUUUUCCAAAGGGCUGACCUCAUCGGGCUCAUUUGUUUGUUUCUUGACUCACGCUGCUGUAACCACAGGCAGGCUUCCUACUUUGGGGGAUCCCAAAUGACUUAUCAUGGGACUUGAUAUGUAAAUUUGAAAGGUUCUUGUCUGCUACAUUGGGGGCAGAAGGCCUCAACUUCUUUUUCAGGCCUGUUUGCUAAGUGCUUCCCUCGAGUCUUUCAGAGCACGGGGCCAUCCAGCUGAAGAUUUUAUCGCAAGCACCUUUUGCAGUUUGGUUUUCUGAAAUCGCUCAGCAUUUCUCUCCCAUUAGGUUGGGUCUUAGCCCAGUGACUAGCAGAUGAGCUAAGGGCCAGGGCGGUCUGACGUUGUCUGGGGCUUGGGGGAUUUUUCUGAAAGCCUGUGACCCAGGACUGGCUGUUGGAAGGGGAGGAGGAGGAGGAGGAGGAGUGAGCCGUAGGACAGACCCACCGGGGUCAUGCCCCCCAGUGCUGUGCAUCAGGCUCCUUGAGCAGGGCCGGCCUGGCUGCUAUCUCCUCUGGGGACCAGAACUAGCUGCUGACCCGGAGAUGGGGCUUCCCAAAGCACAGUGUUGCCCCGAGGCCCCACCUGGCCCAGGCAUCUUUCCCAUUUCCUCCUUUGAGGAGCGGGGUGACCCUCCGGGAAAGAAGGAUGGCUCUGCCUGAGUUCCACCAAGCUUCUCGCCCCUGGCAGCUUUCCCUGCCUCACUGUCUGCUCAGGGAAAUGAAUUCCGGUUUUCUGCUAGGGCCUUUAUACGUAGCGUCGGCCCUUGCCCCGGAAAACCCCAGGUAUUGGAAGAUCUCGGCUGUGCCCACAGCUCUUGGGUGCCGCCGUUCUCUUCUGCGGUGGCUCCCACAGGCUCAGCUUACUUGGCCUCCUCCGUAGCACGCAGAUGAACUUGAGCAGUGGUUGGAAUGCCCCCGCCACCCCCCGCCUUCCUCCUUCCCACACACCUAUGCUGUGAGCUCACACGCUCGCUACGGACUUGCGCUUGGCGAGCCUCAGACAGUGCAGGGGAGGAGAAGCUAGAUCUGGCCGCCAAGGGCACUGAGUCCCGGAUGGCAAGAGAAAGGCCCGUGUUGCUCAUGGACCGGGUGCCACCAGCCCCACCAGCUGUGCCAUCAGUGCCCCCGUUCAGACAUGAAGCUGGGACCCCCUCUCGCAACCCAGACAGAAUCCCAGGUGCUCGGUGAUCCUCCGUGGAGGCCUGGAGACCAGUGAGAUAGGUGGGCCCAUGUGUGCCCAGAGCAGAGUUUUGAGGGCGCCUGGAACUUGCCCUUUGCUCCCUGGGGCUCUUGUCCCUGCCUUCACCUGCACUGGGGCCUGGCAGAGCUUGGAGGCUUCCGGAUUCCAGUGUCGGCGGUGGCCAGUCUGCUGGAGUAAAGCUGCUUUCCCAAAAUAGCCACCCAGAGGGAAAGAGCAACCCUGGAAUUUGAUCGCAGUGAUGAUGACCAUGGUGGCCUCGCUCAGGCUCCUGGUCCCAGCUCCACCUCCCUGACCGUCACCCAGGAACUGGAGGUGAACGCACACCUACGGAGGGGCCCCAGUGCUGGCAGCGAGCCCAGCCCCCUGGCAGGUGAACCCAGUGCCAGACCCGGAGGCGGCAAGCCCGACAGGUCAGACAGGUGGAGCCAGCCGUGCGGUCCGUGGUCCCCAAUCCCUGGUCCGCCCUCAGCCCACAAAGCAGUGCAGGCACGGGUGGCUCCUGACAUUCAGGAAAAACAGGGGUGCUCUCUGCCCCUCUGGGGAAGCUGGUUCCCCUCAACCUGGACAGAUGAUCAUUUUUGAGGCUGAAAACAUCCAAUGUGAGAUCCCCCACUCUUAAGGCAGGUUUCUCUCUGCCCGGCCUUUAACCUGGAUUGACGUCACUCACAGAUCUGGACAGGUCCCCGAAGCUCCUCUGGGCCACCACCACCUUCCUGCCACGGGGUCUGGUUUUCUGGAGGUCAGUGCAAGAGCAGAAAAAUUCCCGCAUCAUUGUGAAAUGCAAGAGGAAGCCUAACUAAGGUUGGUGGUAAAAAUCUUCGGAUUCCUCUCCAAGCCUGGCAGGGGAGGGAGUGUGGGGUGCAAAGCUGUGACUCGUUCCCAGCGCCACCGUUCUGCCCCCAGAUCGGGCAUUUUAAAAGUGCUUGUUCUCAUGGUUCAGAACUGCUCACAGUUAUAACUGGGUGCGGCUGUGGUUUCUUGCCCAUGUCCGUCUUCAUGCACCCCCCCAAGGCCCAGGACAUCCUCCGCCCUCCCGACCCGCCCCUGCCCCCCCCCCCCCCGCAGGCACGGGGUCAGCCCAUCACAGGUGCACACUCAGAAGCUGAUGGCUGCCGAAGAAACAUCUGUGCUUGCUGAGACGUGCACUGUAGGAUUGGGAAGGUUUCCUGAAUGAAUUUCCACAUCUCCUGGAUGAAGAGGGCGCCUCUUUUUCCAGGAAUUGGAACAUCCAAGAGCCAUGUUGCCAGAAGCCACUUUCUCUUCAGUGCCUAAAAUUUAAGUGCUGGGAACUUAAAACUCCUCGGUAGAGAUGACUUCCGGUUUUCUUGUAUCCCUCCCGGCUCCCUGGACCAGCGGUCCUGACUCUGUAGGGAGAGGUUUUGGGCCUGGGGCUUCAGAGGGCCCCUGUUAGGACAAAUGAACUGAAGACAGAAUCAGGGCUCUGAACCGAGCCCCAGGCCUUUGAAGUAUCUUGUGUUAAUGCAGCAGAAGCUCACCUGGUUGCUGAACCGAAAGCCCUUCGGUAGAAGAGAAUGUCCGUUCAAAUCUAAGUACGUUCACUCUGACCUUGGGUUGCAGCUUUGCAGGAAGGUCUGACGUGGUAAAAGCCUGCUGACUUGUGUGCUGUGUACUUUGUGGAACACAGAUUUCAGCCACUGACUCAUUAUUCACCCUUGUUCUGGCCUCGCCUCUCUGACUGGAAAAAUUGUCCCUGAAGUCCAGGCUUCCCCUCCCUGACUGGGAAGACUGUCCCCAAAGUCUGAGCCUCCCCUCUCUGACUUAGAAGACUGUCCCCAAAGUCUGAGCCUCCUCUCCCUGACUGGGAAGGUUGUCCCUGAAGUCUAGGCCUGCCCUCUCUAACUGGGAACAUUGUCCCCGAGGUCCAAGCCUCCUCACUCUGACUAGGAAGAUUGUCCCUGAAGUCCAGGCCUGCCCCCUCUGACUGGGAAGACUGUCCCCAAAGUCUAAGCCUCCACUCUCUGACUCUCUGACUAGGAAGAUUGUUCCUGAAGUCCAGACCUCUCCUCUCUGACGGGGAAGAUUGUCCUCUCUGUCUGAGGACCCCAGACUCCAGAGGAGGAAGAAGGAGCCCCUCCUGGCUACCAUAACUGCCAGCUCAGCUCUGGUGUCCGGGGAGCAGCCUCCACAGGCAGCCACGGCUUCACCCAGGUCACUCACUGCCUAGAUUGAGAACAUGGGGUUCAGCAUGGAGAUCGGGGACAGGGGCUGCUUAGCAGUAGAAGACACAUCUGGUCUUGCUUUUCUGAGCCAUCUUUUCCUUUGGUUUAUUUUCUGAGCCUGAGGGUAGGCUGGAUCCAAGAAUUAGGAGUUCCCUCAUCUCCCUCCAUUAGUGCUUUUGACCUCUGCUGGGGUUCAGCGCGUGCCCCAUCCCUGAGAAACACACAGGUACCAGGCUGACUUGACCUUGACAGCGGUGCCAAGGACCAGCCUGAGGCCAGUGGGUGCUGGUGAGCUCGUUCCCGCCUCUCACAGCCCAUUUUUGGGAGGGUCAGCCCAUCCCAAAUGCUGUUCUGAGCUCAGACACCAAGCACGCCACUAUUGCUUAAUUCCCGCGUCGCUGUCUUUACCUUGGGGACCCUGCUUCUGUUUUCAGUAUUUGGGGGGUCCCCUGCCUCUUCCAGCCAGCCCGGGUGUUAUUCAGGCUCCUGCUUGCCCCCGUGCUGACUUGAGGACGGCCAGUGUGGAAAGUGCCGUUGGGCCGAUCCUGGGCCCGUGGGGUCAGAAGCUGCAGCACGAAACCAGGAAACCCGCUUCUCCGGAGCCCGCACGUGGUUCUUGGACGCAGGGCUCCAACCUGACAGAGCCACUUAACCUUUGAGAUAAGACUGGACGUAGCAGAGGCAUAUUUUCCACGCUGAAAGGCCAUAAUUAAAGUCUAGUCUGGCUUGGUUUUUAGGCAAGGCAUCACGGGUUCAUCUGUCUGGGGGCAGAAGACUAAGCUAACAAGAGACUGCCACCAGCUACCACUGGACAUUUAGAAGCCAAGGAAGGGGGCGCUGUGUGCUCUGCGUCUUGCUGAGUGUGGGGGAAGCCCAGUGAGGGGACAGCAGGUGAGCAGAGACCCUGCCCACCUGGGAGCUGCUUUCGUCCACUGCAGCUUGCCUGGAACCCAUUUCUGGGACCUCCUGGCCUGGGGCAGGGGGCUCAGUGACCCUCCCAGCAGCGCCCCUGUGUGUCCCUGCCCCCACACAGAAGAGGAACUAUCGGUGGUCCACAGCCAAAGCAGCUGGUGGCCAGAUGUUCUAGCAGCCACCAUGAUGGGCUCCUCGAGUCAGCCUGGCUGGACUGCGGGACCCAGUCAUUCAACCAAUCACCGAGCAAGGCGCUGCUUUGGGCCCAUGCGGGUGGCGUCUACGAUCCGUUGACUUUAAAGCUUCACCUCGAUGACGUGGGUGGGCCUCAUCCAAGCAGUUGGAGGGCCUUCAGAACAAAGCUGGGGCUUUCCUGAGGAGGAAGAGACCGCACCUGUGGACUGCACUGUCAGCUCCUGCCUGAGAGCGGCCGGCCAGGCUGCCAGGCGGCCCUCGCCAGCCCCAGUCAUGUGAGCCAGUUCCUUGAAAUAAAUCUCUUCAUCUCGAUCUCCUUCUGCUUCCGCUUUCCCAGUAGGAUUCUGACUGCUCGGCUCCCUCAGGGGCGCCCAGGAUGGGGGAACGGCGGGGGUCGCUGUGUUCGUUCUCUUGCUCCCCGUUGGUGCCCGUAGCCGUGCAGAUUGACGACCACUGUCCCUUCCUAACUUCUUCUCUUCCAGGCAAAAGCUGACUUGGUCUUUUUUUUUUUUUCCCCUCCGGGUCGGUGAGUCGCAGGCCAGCCCGGCUGGGAUCUGUCGCCGGUCCCCGCUCUCUCCACGGCCACGUUCCUUCCUAUCCGCAGGGCGGCGGGAGCGAGCGGUGAACAGGCCCGCACCCGGGUCGUCGGCGGGGCCAGCUGUGAGUGUUUCUUUGGCAGUGUCUUAGCUGGUUGUUGUGAGUAAUACUGAAGGAAGCAAUCAGCAAGUAUACUGCCCUAGAAGUGCUGCACACUGUUGGGCCCGAGGGAGGCGGCGGCGAGAGGCGACGGAGCCGGGGGAGACGCCGGAGCCUGGAUGUUGGAGGCUCUGCCCCGCCGUGUUGGCUGGUAAGGGCUUCGGGGGGGGGGGGGGCAGCGAGCUCUAGGGCCCUUGAAGCGGUCUGCUCGUGGAUGUUGAGGGGAACAAAGCUCCCCGCAACCCUGGGCUGGGGUAUGGGGUGUCUCGGGCCAGGAGAGGUUUGCACACUGGAAUAAUAAAAACCAACAUUUAAAAGUAAAAAAAAUAAAUUAAAAAACCUCAACAUUUACAGAGCACUUUGUGCAAAGCCCUGUCCUAAGCGUUGGAAAUGGUGUCUUUCAGGAGCUAGUGUCUGUUGUUACUUACAGAGAAGAAAACAGACAUAGGAAGUGCCAAAAGUCACAAGGGAUGGGACAGAAAUGAGGGACAGGAUUUGACCCCAAGCAGUCUGGCUUGAGAAUCCAUGUCCUUGGAGACGGGCCUCAGGGGCAUUCCUGCCCUGUGGACCUGUUUUGCAGACGGGCUUGACCAUAAACACACGUACGCUGCUUCUCCCCCGCCACAAGGCAAGCUGUGAAGGCAGUCCUUAGCUUUGUCGUUAGCUUUGGCGAACGUGCCUGGGUGGGCAUUAGGACGUGGGUCUGCCUUGGGGAGGAUUUUCCUUUUCCGCCCUCCCAGGCCCAGGAUGUUGGCGGGAAUGAGAAGUUGCUGGUGUGUCUGCCCCAGCGGCUGGUGAGAAAGGUGCCUCCAUGGGAGCUCAGCAAAAGACAGUUUAAUCCUCUGGGUCCGCCCAGCCUCACCCGCAGAUGCCAACUUUGGGUCCAGUGAGCUGCGCGGCCAGCUGGUGUCCCAUGGCAACAGGAAGUGGACCCAAGCCACCAGAGGUUGGAGAGCUACUUGGGGGUGUCUUGGACCACAAGGCCCAUCCAUGACCUCCGGCGGACCUGGAGAAGCCAUGAGGGGGUGGGGCUCCUGGUACCUUUGAUGCAGGCCAAGGACAACACGCGCUGUGAUCCCCCCCCUUCCCCAUGCCCCCACUGCUCCUCCGACGGCCACGGCCCGCGGCCCUCCCCUUCUCAUGCCCGUCUGCCUCGACUCCGUCUUUUUUGGUUCUGUCUUGCCGACCUCGGUACUUCCUAGCGCCGAGUGGGGCAAGAUGGGCCUGUUUCCAUUUGGACCACUUUAUGUAAGUCGGAAGACCCCUUAGAAAGGUUUUCUGAGUCUAACCUUGGCCUUGAGACACCCCUUCUGGUCCAAGCCAGUCCUCUCUCUCUCAAAGCUGGAAGCACAGUGGGCAGCCGGGCUCCCUUCAGCCAGUGGAUUCCUGCGGGAGUUGUUCGUGUCUCCUCCGGUGCUCAGAGGGCUCCAGAGACGGCCCUUUUGUGGCACACAUCGGCCUGGCCGCGCCCCGUGCCCACUUGGCCCACAUUCCGCUCUGCCCCCCAGGCCCGUGGAGCCGGGCGUGGGCUGAAGUGAGGCGGCCGGAAUGCCCGGAAUGCGGGCCGCCGCGACCGCCGGACACUCACGUCCGCCGGACACUCACGUCCGUCGCGGGAGAUCUGACCAGCGCGGGGCUGGGGACGGCGCUGAGCCGACGUCUUUACAUUCUUCCCAGUUUCAGGCCGACGCGAAGGACGCCUGCACUUCUCCCCACCGCCUUCUGACUCAUGGUCUCCAACUUUUGAAUUAAAGGGGCCACACUCUGGGACUGUGAUCUAA
This is an RNA transcript of Mustela erminea (ermine), 9232 nucleotides long. It is a transcript of the gene named translation initiation factor IF-2-like, with no coding region annotated. The record is from RefSeq and is a predicted model, not a curated record. NCBI's taxonomy places the organism in Eukaryota, Metazoa, Chordata, Mammalia, Carnivora, Mustelidae. The transcript is spliced from 4 exons.